Molecule: non-coding RNA, 22 nt
Filed under: Mus musculus (house mouse)
Lineage: Eukaryota; Metazoa; Chordata; Mammalia; Rodentia; Muridae
Source: RNAcentral
UGGCCUUGUGGGUACUUGUGGA